GGCCAGACUCCUACGGGAGGCAGCAGUGGGGGAUAUUGCACAAUGGGGGGAACCCUGAUGCAGCGACGCCGCGUGGGUGAAGAAGUAUUUCGGUAUGUAAAGCCCUAUCGGCAGGGAAGAAAUUGGACGGUACCUGACUAAGAAGCCCCGGCUAACUACGUGCCCGCAGCCGCGGUAAUACGUAGGGGGCAAGCGUUAUCCGGAUUCACUGGGUGUAAAGGGGGCGCAGACGGCGAUGCAAGUCAGGAGUGAAAGCCCGGGGCCCAACCCCGGGACUGCUCUUGGAACUGCGUGGCUGGAGUGCAGGAGGGGCAGGCGGAAUUCCUGGUGUAGCGGUGAAAUGCGUAGAUAUCAGGAGGAACACCGGCGGCGAAGGCGGCCUGCUGGACCGUGACUGACGUUGAGGCUCGAGAGCGUGGGGAGCAAACAGGAUUAGAUACCCGUGUACAU
Molecule: ribosomal RNA, 450 nt
Filed under: uncultured bacterium
Lineage: Bacteria
Description: bacterial SSU rRNA
Rfam family: Bacterial small subunit ribosomal RNA
Source: RNAcentral